This 76-nucleotide transfer RNA is filed under the name Ornithobacterium rhinotracheale. RNAcentral's name for it is "tRNA-Met". It matches the Rfam family "tRNA". Rfam says of the family: Transfer RNA (tRNA) molecules are approximately 80 nucleotides in length. Their secondary structure includes four short double-helical elements and three loops (D, anti-codon, and T loops). Further hydrogen bonds mediate the characteristic L-shaped molecular structure. tRNAs have two regions of fundamental functional importance: the anti-codon, which is responsible for specific mRNA codon recognition, and the 3' end, to which the tRNAs corresponding amino acid is attached (by aminoacyl-tRNA synthetases). tRNAs cope with the degeneracy of the genetic code in two manners: having more than one tRNA (with a specific anti-codon) for a particular amino acid; and 'wobble' base-pairing, i.e. permitting non-standard base-pairing at the 3rd anti-codon position. RNAcentral also lists the same sequence under 3 other names. The record is from RNAcentral. Lineage: Bacteria; Pseudomonadati; Bacteroidota; Flavobacteriia; Flavobacteriales; Weeksellaceae.
CGCGGGAUGGAGAAGUCGGUAUCUCGUCGGGCUCAUAACCCGAAGGUCGCUGGUUCGAGUCCAGCUCCCGCUACUA